GGGGGUGUUCCGGAUUCGACUGGGAGUGGAAAUCCAGGAAGCAAGCCGUGGGUAAUACUCUUGGCCACGUUAAAAGGAGUAUUAAAAAUCUUAACUGCAAACAACGCAGAAUAUUCUCCAGCUACAGCAGCUCUAGCUGCUUAGUUAGGAGCGCUUUCAAAUCAGUACGCCUUAGGCUGACUUGUUAGUGUCAUAUAACUCAGGCUGGUGAUGCGGUUCUUCCGACAGCAUUACGAGAUUCAGGAAGUGUUCUUGUGUGAAGCGGUUUCCUGCUGACACCUCAGGCGAAAACGAAAAGUGGAAACUAAGCUUGUAGAAACCGAAAUGGAAACUAAUCAGGACGCGGGUUCGACUCCCGCCACCUCCACCA
Molecule: transfer-messenger RNA, 370 nt
Filed under: bacterium
Lineage: Bacteria
Also listed under: 1 other name
Description: JADFZZ01 sp015232315 Standard tmRNA
Rfam family: transfer-messenger RNA
About the family: Bacterial tmRNA, also known as 10Sa RNA or SsrA, is named for its dual tRNA and mRNA-like properties. Its role is to liberate the mRNA from a stalled ribosome.
Source: RNAcentral